UUGGAAUUCUGCAGAGAUGCGGAAGUGCCUUCGGGAAUCAAGUGACAGGUGCUGCAUGGCUGUCGUCAGCUCGUGUCGUGAGAUGGUUGGGUUAAGUCCCGUAACGAGCGCAACCCUUGUCCUUUGUUGCCAGCACGUAAAGGUGGGAACUCAAAGGAGACUGCCGGUGACAAACCGGAGGAAGGUGGGGACGACGUCAAGUCAUCAUGGCCCUUACGGCCUGGGCUACACACGUGCUACAAUGGUCGGUACAGAGGGUUGCCAAGCCGCGAGGUGGAGCUAAUCCCAGAAAACCGGUCGUAGUCCGGAUCGCAGUCUGCAACUCGACUGCGUGAAGUCGGAAUCGCUAGUAAUCGCGAAUCAGAAUGUCGCGGUGAAUACGUUCCCGGGCCUUGUACACACCGCCCGUCACACCAUGGGAGUGGGUUGCAAAAGAAGUGGCUAGUCUAACCUUCGGGAGGGCGGUCACCACUUUGUGAUUCAUGACUGGGGUGAAGUCGUAACAAGGUAGGCGUAGUGCU
Molecule: ribosomal RNA, 521 nt
Filed under: uncultured bacterium
Lineage: Bacteria
Description: bacterial SSU rRNA
Rfam family: Bacterial small subunit ribosomal RNA
Source: RNAcentral